This is an RNA transcript of Oncorhynchus kisutch (coho salmon), 3155 nucleotides long. RefSeq lists it as uncharacterized. NCBI's taxonomy places the organism in Eukaryota, Metazoa, Chordata, Actinopteri, Salmoniformes, Salmonidae. The transcript is spliced from 8 exons. The record is from RefSeq and is a predicted model, not a curated record.
ACAACAGCUCUGCUCCGUGAAGCAAGAAGCAUGAAUACCCUGACUUCUGUGGAGGCUGCAUCGCUGUAAAUGCUGUGUGGCCACUUCAGACGCCAGAUUUGUACUUUAAUUGUUACCCAGAAAUGAUUUGAUAAAAACAGCUGCAUUGAACGUUUUCGCAUAAUAAACACUGAACAAACAGUCUCUAUCUUGGUUUACAUCAUAUCGCUCAACAUCAGUGGACAGUCACCAUGUGGAUCUCUGUGUGUCUGAUCAGCUCUUUCCUUCAUAUCACUGCAGUAAAACCCAGGCUAAACCUCCCAGCUUCACAUGGACUAAACUCAGAGGUCAACAUUCACCUGUGAUAAUAUCACCCCGGAGUGAUCUGUACAGAGGCAGAGUGGAGAGGUUUAAUAGCACCUCUCCUGGGAACCUCUCUGUCCUCCUCUCACACGUCACCGAGGACGAUCAGGGGUGGUACAGGUGCCAAAUCAGCCGUGAAAAAUACAGCGACGUCGAACUCACUGUUGAAGGCUGCACUCUGUCAGAACCUCGAUCAAGGGUGGUCAAUGGAUCCCCAGGCCAGUCUGUUCUCCUGCCCUGCUCCUGUAGUAAAACCCAGGCUAAACCUCCCAGCUUCACAUGGACUAAACUCAGAGGUCAACAUUCACCUGAGAUAAUAUCACCCCGGAGUGAUCUGUACAGAGGCAGAGUGGAGAGGUUUAAUAGCACCUCUCCUGGGAACCUCUCUGUCCUCCUCUCACACGUCACCGAGGACGAUCAGGGGUGGUACAGGUGCCAAAUCAGCCGUGAAAAAUACAGAGACGUCGAACUCACUGUUGAAGAUAUUGUAACAACAUACUGUAAAACGAGGGCCCUACCAGGCCAACAGCACUGCAGUAUGUAGAUUACCCAACCUGACAGACUAAGUUGAGUGAAAUUGAUAACACACUUCACCAAAUGUUCUACUCAUUAGACUUAGGUACAUAAUAUAGUUUUGUAAUGUGCCUUUGCUCUGGCUAAUGUUCCUCUUGUCUGUUAGGGAAAUACCAUCCCCUCACAACCACUACCACCAAACAUCCACCAUUAACUCAACCAAAUGGACUAGACAUUACAACAUUCCUAAUACCAACAACGUCACCUAAAGGGGCAGACACAGUGGGGACUUCAGAAGAAGAUCCAUCUGCUUCCCUUCAACAAUACAAUACAAUCCAAUACACCUUGUUGGCUGUUCUACCAGUCAUACUGAUCAUCACUGGAGUGGCUUGGUACAUAUACAAGAGAAACAAAGGAAAGAAAAACGCAGGAGAGAAAAGUAGUGGGAGCAAAACAGAAGGAGAGAAAAAGGAUGAUCCCUCUGUAAUGUAUGAUACGGUUCAAGAACCCAGAAACAACAACCAAGAGGAGACAACAACACCCCUCAGUGCUCCAGAGGAUCCCUCAGUGACAUACUCCACCAUCGUCUACAUGAAAGGAAAAAGGAACGCAGCAGUGAGUCUGGAGAGCGGUGGAAAUACAGAGUAUGCCACUAUCAAGACAGGCACGUUCUCCUAGAGCCACUGUACUGUAUGGCCUACUGUCAUCUCACAGCCUUUUCCUGCAGAGUGAUCUCAUAUUGGGCCCAGUAUCAAGAGGUUUGAUCUGGCACACAUGACUACAAAUAUAUUUCACUCUCUACUAAGACAUGUUAAGUGGUUAUCACAGGAAAUCAGAUGUUAACCUACAACCAAAAUAAUAAAGUCCCAGAGAUAUAGGCAAGAUGAUUGGUGAAGCAAUAAGAUACCAUUUUUGUGUAGCUGAGACAACCAAAGCACCUUAUAUGGCUUAAAGUUCAGCUAGUUCUCUUUUUAUAUCGUUGUUGUGCAUUUAUUUUUAAAUAUGUGAACUUUUUGAAAUAGAGACGGAUGCUUUCAGACAUGUUUGAGAAAAAGGAAAAUGUGGUUUGAUGUGUCAAAGCAAAAAAACACAUUUCACAAUCAGUUUUGCAAGAGGUUGCUUGGGUGGCUAUCAUCCAUCUUAAUUUUGUAAGGGGUGCGUGACUGGCUGCAGGGAAGUCAGGCGCAGGAGAGCAGAACUGGGUAAAACCCGAAGCAGUUUAAUAUGAAGAAAAAAAACAACGGCACCCAGAACAACAAAAUCUGGGUACAAAAUAACCCGUUGUGAACCAGUCAGAGUGCACAAACACUUUACAAUAAACAAUUUCACACACAGACAUGGGGGGAACAGAGGGUUGUAUACACGACAAGUAAUGAGGGAAUGUAAACAGGUGUGUGGAAAAACAAGACAAAACAAAUGGAAAAUGAAAGGUGGAUCGGCGAUGGCUAGAAGACCGGUGACGUCGACCGCCGAACGCCGCCCGAACAAGGUGAGGAACCGACUUCGGCGGAAGUCGUGACAAUGUAUAUACUGUACUUCUUAUUUUUCUGCCAAGAAGCUGGUACACGCUGAGCAUUUCAUCAUUCUCGAAGUUGACAAAAAAAAUGUAAAGGAUAACACAUGUUUUUAGUCAGAAUUUGUCACAGAAAACAACCUCUACCUAAUGUCAGAAUUUUGUCACAGACAACAAUCUUUGUGAAAACAACCUCAAACUUUUGUCAAAUUCUGUUAGUUAGCUACAGUAUUUCCUCUUUCGUGUAAUGGACAAAUCACACAUUGUUGUCUUUCUGAACAGGGAAAGCAGUCUAACAAUGUCAUCAACUGAAGCAUUCACUUUUGGAGUGCACAACUAACAAGGAAUUACAUGUUUUAGUGUGUUGUUUCCAGGUCUUCCAAUCAUGACUGUAAAUACACUGAACAAAAAUAUAUACGCAACAUCUAAAGUGUUGAUCCUACAGUAUGUUUCAUGAGCUGAAAUAAAAGAUCACAGAAAUGUUCCAUACGCACAAAAAGCUUAUUUCUCUCCCAGGCCCACCCAUGCCUGUACCCCUGCCCAGUCAUGUGAAAUCCAUAGAUUAGGGCCUAAUUUAUUUAUUUAAAUUGACUGAUUUCCCUUUAUGAACUGUAACUCAGUAAAAUCUUUGAAAUUGUUGCAUGUUGCAUUUAUAUUUUUGCUCAGCAUACAUAUGAGAACACAGAGAUCCGGACCUCUGUAAUUUUAUCUAAUUUGACAAAUAAAUUAAUAACGCAAAUGUAUAUUUUGUACACAAUAAAGAGAAUAAAUGAUGGGUCAACAUCUA